GGUGUCCUACGGGGCGCAGCAGUAGGGAAUCUUCCACAAUGGGCGCAAGCCUGAUGGAGCAACACCGCGUGAGUGAAGAAGGGUUUCGGCUCGUAAAGCUCUGUUGUUAGAGAAGAACGUGCGUGAGAGUAACUGUUCGCGCAGUGACGGUAUCCAACCAGAAAGUCACGGCUAACUACGUGCCAGCAGCCGCGGUAAUACGUAGGUGGCAAGCGUUAUCCGGGUUUAUUGGGCGUAAA
Molecule: ribosomal RNA, 239 nt
Filed under: uncultured bacterium
Lineage: Bacteria
Description: partial 16S ribosomal RNA
Rfam family: Bacterial small subunit ribosomal RNA
Source: RNAcentral